Molecule: ribosomal RNA, 1678 nt
Filed under: Alphaproteobacteria bacterium CG11_big_fil_rev_8_21_14_0_20_44_7
Lineage: Bacteria; Pseudomonadati; Pseudomonadota; Alphaproteobacteria
Description: bacterial LSU rRNA
Rfam family: Bacterial large subunit ribosomal RNA
Source: RNAcentral
UAGUAAGUAUAAUAAGAGCAUUUGGUGAAUGCCUUGGCGAUUACAGGCGAUGAAGGACGUAACAGGCUGCGAUAAGCCGCGGGGAGGUGCCAAUAUCCUUUGAUCCGCGGAUUUCCGAAUGGGGAAACCCACCACUUUUGUGGUACUCUAUAGCUGUAAGGUUAUGGAGAGCAAACCCGGAGAACUGAAAUAUCUAAGUACCCGGAGGAAAGGACAUCAAUAGAGACUCCGCUAGUAGCGACGAGCGAACGCGGAUCAGGCCAUUAGGAUUAUGUAAUAACUGGAACAAGUUGGAAAGCUUGGCAAUAAUGGGUGAUAGCCCCGUACAGGUAAAAGUCAUGAUUCUAUCGAGUAGGGCGGAACACGUGAAAUUCUGUCUGAACAUGGGAGGACCUCCUUCCAAGCCUAAGUACUCGUAAUCGACCGAUAGUGAACUAGUACCGUGAGGGAAAGGCGAAAAGAACCCCGACAAGGGGAGUGAAAUAGACCCUGAAACCGAAUGCUUACAAGCAGUCAGAGCAGCCUUGUGCUGUGAUGGCGUACCUUUUGUAUAAUGGGUCAGCGACUUAGUGUAUUUAGCAAGCUUAAGCCGUUAGGUGUAGGCGCAGCGAAAGCAAGUUUUAAUAGAGCGAUUUAGUUAAAUGCAUUAGACUCGAAACCGAGUGAUCUAAGCAUGGUCAGGUUGAAAGUAAGGUAACACUUACUGGAGGACCGAACCCACAUCUGUUGAAAAAGAUGGGGAUGAACUGUGCUUAGGGGUGAAAGGCCAAUCAAACUCGGAUAUAGCUGGUUCUCCGCGAAAUCUAUUUAGGUAGAGCGUCGUAUAUUUACCUUCGGGGGUAGAGCACUGAAAGGGCUAGGGGGGCCCAAAGCCUUACCAAACCUUAUCAAACUCCGAAUACCGAAGAGUAUAGUACGGCAGACACACUACGGGUGCUAACGUCCGUAGUGAAAAGGGAAACAACCCAGAUCGCCAUCUAAGGUCCCUAAGUGAUAAUUAAGUGUGAAAGGAUGUAGGAAUCCCAAAACAACCAGGAGGUUGGCUUAGAAGCAGCCAUCCUUUAAAGAAAGCGUAACAGCUCACUGGUCUAAUUAAGGGUUCCCGCGCCGACAAUGUAACGGGGCUUAAAUUAUCCACCGAAGAUGCGGGUGCAAUUUAUUGCGCGGUAGCGGAGCGUUGUGUAAGCCGUUGAAGGUGUGCUGUAAGGCAUGCUGGAGGUAUCACAAGUGAGAAUGCUGACAUGAGUAGCGACAAAGAGUGUGAGAAUCACUCUCGCCGAAAUCCCAAGGGUUCCUGCUUAAAGCUAAUCUGAGCAGGGUUAGUCGGCUCCUAAGGCGAGGCUGAAAAGCGUAGUCGAUGGGAAACAGGUUAAUAUUCCUGUACUAGAUGGUAGUGACGCAUCGAGUAAAUUGUUCUUCCUUAUUGGAUUGGAAGGGCUGUGAAUCGGUGCCAGGAAAUAGCUCCAUCAUUAAUAACCGUACCCUAAACCGACACAGGUGGGAAGGUAGAGUAUACCAAGGCGCUUGAGAGAAUGAUGUUGAAGGAACUAGGCAAAUUACACGCGUAACUUCGGGAUAAGCGUGCCCUAUUAGAAGGCAACUUUUAGUAGGGGGCACAUACCAGGUGGUAGCGACUGUUUAUUAAAAACACAGGACUAUGCAAACUCGCAAGAGGAAG